Acyrthosiphon pisum (pea aphid) is the source of this 1241-nucleotide long non-coding RNA. RefSeq lists it as uncharacterized. NCBI's taxonomy places the organism in Eukaryota, Metazoa, Arthropoda, Insecta, Hemiptera, Aphididae. The transcript has 3 exons. The record is from RefSeq and is a predicted model, not a curated record.
AAAAGUAUCAUUUCUAUUAGUUUAAUGGUAAUAGUAUACUUACGUUUUGGAGUUACACCCUCUCAUACAUUAUGUUUAACAUCAGAACCGAACAAUGUCUUAAAUUUUUUUCAAAAUUAUAAUACCUACAUAUUUUUCUCAGUUUUUAGUACAAAUCUAGAGCAUCAAGAAGUAAACAGCUUUAAUGGUCUACCAAAUUGGCCAACAAUAACUCCUUAUUUCGAACAACUAAAAUCAAGCGAUUUAAAUUUAAACAAAAAUAAUUUGAUCUUUAAAUGCAUUUUGUAUGGUCCAAAAGAAAAACGAAUUUCUACUUCAAAAUCAUCAAGUUCAAAUCUUAGAACACUUAUCAAAAUUAAGCAUCCAAACGAUUUGUCAGAAUUUAACAAUUGUGUGAAAAAGAUACCAACAGAUUCUACAUCAAUAUCUCAUUAACAAAUGAAAGUUCAACCAACGGAAAAGUUAAAUCGAGCUGAGUUUGAUGAGGCUAGUUUAAAACUUAUGAUUGGUACUGUGUCAUCUUUUACAUUCAUUAAACAUCCAGCAUUUGUACAAUAAUAAUGCGAUUAGAAUAUUUUAAAAAACAUGCUAGAUAACAACGAUAAUAUUACAGAAGCUCUUACAUGAUCUCGAAGUUUGAUAAUAGUCAAUUCACUCUGAUAUUCAAACUAACAAAAAAAAAUUGGAACUGCUGAAGGUUGAUAUGUCCGGUAUAGGUUGAACAUACAUGUUGGUAUUGUAUGCGUUAGAUGAAGAUAAUACACAAAGAUUCAUGAGAUGUAUGGAGUCAAAGAUGUACAAGUGGCUGCUUGUAUGGUUCCAAAAUUCAAACUUAAUUGGACUGUAGAAGAUAAUCUGAACGACAUCAAACAUAUCAGUAACUACUCCCAACACAACAUCUACAGAAUGUCAUAAUAGUGCCUUUGAAGAUGAUUUUUUUAAUUUUGAAGAAAAUAAUGUUUUGGAAUCAAAUUAUCAUAUACUUUUUGUUGACAAUUAUUUGUCUAACACAAAUAUUAAAUUUCCUUCAGAAUUACCAAAUUUUUAAAUGAUUGAGUAAUAUUUAUUUUAUCAAUUAUAAAUGUUUCAAUACAGUACCUAAGAACAUUCACACUAAAAUUUAAAUUUAAAUGAACCCAGAGUGAAAUAUAGAGUUCUAAAAUGAUAUGUAAUCUUUAUGCAUAGGUAUAUUAGUAUCCAAGUGAUUAGCACGUCAUAUUAGUCAUUUUAAUACCUUUUCA